RNAcentral lists this ribosomal RNA (399 nucleotides) under uncultured bacterium. Its description in RNAcentral is "bacterial SSU rRNA". It matches the Rfam family "Bacterial small subunit ribosomal RNA", at positions 355 to 773 of the family's 1533-position model. The record is from RNAcentral.
UGGGGAAUAUUGCACAAUGGGGGAAACCCUGAUGCAGCGACGCCGCGUGGAGGAUGACGGCCUUCGGGUUGUAAACUCCUUUUGUCAGGGACAAUGGUGAUGGUACCUGACGAAUAAGCCACGGCUAACUCUGUGCCAGCAGCCGCGGUAAGACAGAGGUGGCGAGCGUUGUUCGGAAUUACUGGGCUUAAAGGGCGCGUAGGCGGUGGUUUAAGUCUAGGGUGGAAUGCUACAGCUCAACUGUAGAGCUGCCUUGGAAACUGGAUUACUUGAGUCGGUGAGGGGAAGUGGAAUUCCAGGUGUAGCGGUGAAAUGCGUAGAUAUCUGGAGAAGGUCUGUGGCGAAGGCGACCUUCUGGCACUUGACUGACGCUGAGGCGCGAAAGCGUGGGGAGCAAAC